This 2635-nucleotide small RNA is filed under the name Arabidopsis thaliana (thale cress). Its description in RNAcentral is "ATSL091320". Lineage: Eukaryota; Viridiplantae; Streptophyta; Magnoliopsida; Brassicales; Brassicaceae. The record is from RNAcentral.
GUUAUCACCUUAUGGGGAGCGUGGGAGACAUGGCUGCAGCAGUGGGUCCCUCGUUGUCUUCAUGUCUCUUCUCUGUAUUCUCUGUUUACUAGAAAAAUCCCCAGGAAAUUCCGCAAUCUUCUAAACUUGAUGAACUCUUUGUAAUAUUCUGUAGCUUCUGUUGGUCGAGUAAAAUGAUGAAUUUUUUUUUUAGGUUUUUAAACAUCACUCAUACUCGACCAAUAUACUCGAUCUCUAGGCCAUCAUUAGAGUAAAAGUUUUGAAUUUUUACUCUACCUUCACGUUACUCCUUUCUUCCUGAGAACCACAAACACAACCAAAACAAAUAAAAAAUAACAAGAAAGUAAAAAUUAUUUACAAGGAUAGUCAUGGGACUUCCUCCCAAGUGAGCUUGUUUUAAGUCUCUAGCUUGACUCCUCACACUUAUCAAGAAGAAAAUGAACUGUUGAGAGGGUCUACAUAAUCCUCUUUGAUACCAUCAUCAUACUCAGCGUCCUCCCUGUAGAGGUCUGCAGCAGAAUACUCAAUUCCCCUCUCUUCAAAAUAUGCUUCUUUCUCUUCUGGAGGGUAAUCUAUCUCUUCAGACCAUUUUGAAGUGAACUUCUUUCUCGGGAUAGUGUCGAUCCCGCCUUUAGGUUGAGCUUCCUUCUGCAACUGAUUCAGCUUACUUUUAAGUUCCUCAACAUUGUGGGCUAGCUUCUCUAUAGUUUCAUCUUGCUUAUCAGACCUCUUUUAAGUUCUUUCACUCUUUCAGUCUCAUAUCCUUCUCCUGAGAUCACUCUAUCAUUUCCAGAGGUUUUUCCAUCCUCUGUUGACCCUUGUGGAGUUUUGUUGAUGCUAAACUGCAACUUGAUAUGCUUUCCAAGGUUGAGACUUAUUUUCCCAGCACCAAUGUUGGCAGGGCCAUUUUGUUGAUUCUGUUCUUCAGCCAUUUUGAGUGGUUGUUGAGGUACAAGGUUGACUGUGUUUCUCCUUUCUCUGAUUUCGCGAGCUAUGCGGUCGAUGUUGUCGUUGAAAAGGAGGUUCUGAUUGCCUUUUGAUCGAGUUCGCAUACAACAGAGGUGUACCUGGAUCAAGAAGACAACAAGAAAAACACACAGUUAGUAACCGAAAAGAAAAUUGAAAAAGAACUUGAUCUAAGCAAGUCUGAAAUCUCAAAUGUAACAAACAAACACCCAAUUGGCAACAGCGCCAAAUUGAUAAUAGGUUUUUAAUCAAAUAAACCUAAAGCACUAUCAUGUCGUUGUACUAUUGAAGGUUGUCAAUCCAAAUGGGUGUGAUGCUAACAAUCAAGAUGUGAUCAGAGGUCACUAAGUCAAGCCAAGCAAUAACAGGUUUUGGUGUGUUCUAGCAGUCCUAAGUGAACAUGCAGAAAACAGAAAAUCAAACAGAAACAGUGAAACACUCGACCAACACAGCUCUUUGCAGAGCACUGGGUGAGGUCGAGUAACAGACAGAAAAUAAAACACAGAUACUCGACUGCACAGUCUGUUGCCAGACAACUGGGUGGUCGAGUACGAGGUCGAGUAAGAAGAAAGAAUUGUAGAAAUUAAGCGACAGAUAACAGGAUGCAGUAAACAACAAUAGAGUAAACAAAGAAUUCAAUCAGAUAAAGAAUUCCCAAGGAUGGGGUAAUUGAGUAGUUUCGUUUCCUCAGUUUACAGGUGAUUGACAUGCUCAAUAAAUUAACCCUAGACAACAAGUUCAUUAACCAAAUCUAAGUGCCACCGCAACAGAGACUCUCAAGUUAACCUAGUCCCAGACUCAAUCACCAUUGACGAGAGCUAACCUAACAGGCAUUACGAAUCAACAAGUUAAAGCCAAAACGCUCCCUGCAACCAAUACCUUGGUACAGGGUCACGAAUCUCUAAAAUUAGUGGUUCAGACAUUUCAUCGAACACCUUUUGGGCACGGAAAUGUCUGGGCUCAAAUUCCAGUUGAUUAGAAAGCAAUAGGCAUUAAGAACAACUAAUCCAGAAGGGAUCUAUCAACCAAUACUCAAUCUCCUAGCAUACUGAGAAUUCUACACUACUCUAACCCAUACUCAGAAACCUAUUCACUACUGAGACAUCAUAACAAUGAGCAUAAACGUUGAACAGGUUGAAAACAUGAUAGCAACAGUGUAACAGCAGGAUGAUAACAGAAUGAAUAACAGUAAACGAAAUCAAGAACAAAAGCUGAAUACUGAAUACUGAAUAGAUAAAGAGAAAUCCGGAUUACAAAAGGUCUAGAACAAAAGGUCUGCGGGAUAAAACUAGAUAAAAACUUCUUGUCUGCAAAAAUGUGAAGUACAUGCUACUUAUAGCCAAAUAUUCCGAAACCCUAAUACUCAAAACGACGAAGUAUUGGGACGGAUUAAGAACUGUACUCGACCGAAGUGGUCGAGUGGGAGGUCGAGUGAAUAGCUGGAGUCUUCUUUUCUUCCUUGAGCUCGAGUGUCUGGUUGAGUGCAGAAUGAAGAAGACUCUGAAGCUUGCCAUAGAGGGUGUAGUCGAGUGGUGGUGAAAGUGAUACUCGACUUCUUCCAGGUGGAGUGAUGAGGUCGAGUGGUGGUCUGAUGAUGGAGAUGAGGGCACUCGACCUCGUGGUCGAGUGAUGUGAUCGAGUGAUGGUUUGGUGAUGGAGAUGAGGGCAG